CCCGGCGCCCCGGAAGGAGUCGGGAGAGGCGUCGGGCUUCCGAACGGGCUUGAUGGCGGGUAGUCGGCUGCGGCAGCUGCAGGCCGUGGACACAGAGUUCACCGCGGACGCCGUGGAGUGGUGCCCUCUGGAGGGCUGCCGGCGCCUGCUGGCCUGCGGCACCUACCAGCUGCGCGGCCCCGAGAGCGCGCCCGUCGGCCCCGGGGGCGAGGGUGGACUAGACGUGGACGGGGUCGUUGAGCAGCCACAAGUCCGUCUGGGCCGCGUUUACCUGUACAGUAUCAGUGAGGACGACUCUGCUUAUUCUCUGGUCGAGGUCCAAAGGAAAGAUACGUCUGCAGUGCUGGACAUGAAAUGGUGCCAUGUCCCGGUGGCCGGCUGUGGCGUCUUGGGUGUGGCGGAUGCCAGUGGAUCUGUAGAGUUGCUCCGCCUGGUGGGGUCUGAGAAGAGCAGGCCCCUCCUGGAGCCUUGGUGCAGCCUCUCACUGGGGGAGGAGCGUCUGGCCUUGUCACUGGAUUGGUCCACAGGGAAGCAUGCAAGGCCCAGUGACCAGCCCUUGAAGAUUGUCAGCAGUGACUCCAAGGGGCAGCUGCACCUCCUCAUGCUGGACAAAGCAGGGCCCAUGCUGCAGCCAGUGGCCUCAUGGCAGGCCCAUCACUUUGAGGCUUGGAUCGCUGCUUUCAACUACUGGCAGACAGAAGUCGUGUAUUCAGGGGGAGAUGAUGGGCUCCUGAAAGGCUGGGACACCAGGACCCCUGGCCCGUGUGUCUUCACCAGCUCGAGUCACGCCAUGGGUGUAUGCAGUAUCCAGAGCAGCCUGCAUCGGGAGCACAUGCUGGCCACAGGGAGCUAUGAUGAGCACGUGCUCCUGUGGGAUGUGAGGAACAUGGAGCAGCCACUGGCAGAUGCUCACGUGCAGGGCGGGGUGUGGAGGCUCAAGUGGCACCCGCACCACCACGACCUCCUCCUGGCAGCCUGCAUGCACCACGGCUUUGCAGUCCUCGAUUGCCAUGACGUCACAGGACCUCAGUAGCCAACACCUGGUCUCACCUACUGCUGCUCUCCGGCGUCCUGGCUCCUCCUGCAUUUUGUGACUGGCCCUGCGGGGCCCUUGCAGAAAACGUGCCCUUGUCACUGCUGUGCAGCCCGCCUCUGUUCUCGCCUGGGAGUGGUGUGGACUCUGCUCCUGGGUCCCACACAUGCUGACUUCCCUUUGACCCCUUUCUCUGCUUGGCCAGAGCCCUGCAUUUGCUGAGCUCAGCCGUUGGAGUGGCCUCACUUCUGAGGAUGCCCAUGCUAUCAAGCAUGAACUGCCAUGGUCAGGGCUGUUCCCCUGUCCUCCUCCCUGUCCUUCCACUCCCUCCAUCACACCUGCUGGCCUUUGAACAUCCCCACCGCCCUCUGAGCUGCUCUUCUGUCCUCCCGAGCCUGCCCUGCGCUGUGCCUCUCUCUUCUGCAUCCCCUCUUCCUGCUUGCUCACCUGCUGUAGCUUUGGUGAUGGGAACGUCUUUCAUCUUCGAAUACCUGAGGUCUGUUGUCUUACCAUAGCUGCUCUCAGUGGCCAUUUCCUCUGAGUGCCACAUUCUGAACACUUCAGUUUGUCAGAUCUUUAUGCUCACUCAUCACAAGGUGUUUUGCAGUCUCCUUUGUGAUUCCUUUGUUGACCAUGAGCUGUUUAUUAGCAGACUGUGUAGAGCUGUGAUUUCUAACCAAGCCACCAGCUGGCACUUGGUCUGUCCCGAGCCUGCCCAGUGCCCACCUGGGAAGAAAGUGUCUGUGUACACUGUAGUCAGCCACUGUCUGGGUCCUCACCCACUGCGUGGGUCAGCACUGAGCGUGGUGUUCCAGUCUCCAAGUCUGUUUCCCCCUGAUUUCUAUCAGUUUGUGCUUCUGUGUCUUGGGGCUUUGUGUUUAGAUGAUGUGGGUGUAAUUUUCCCAUCUGCUCCCAGCUGACCCUUUUCUCAUUAGAGUGUCCGUUAUGCCUGGUAACAUUUUUGUUUCAAAAUCAAUUUUGUCUGUUAAGAGUGUAGCCAUUCGUCCUUUCUGUUCCUCUUUGCCAGCAGUCUUCGUUGUCCUGGUGCCUCCCGCUGGGGAUGCUGGCCGCCCUAGGUCCUGGCAGUGGUGGUGUGAACUCUGGCCCCUUUGUGAAGGUGCUAUCCACCAGGUCUCCCCUGUAAACACUCGGGGUUCCCCUCUGUAAUAACGGAGAACUGUGUGGGGGAGGCUUUGAAGCUUUGCCAGUCCCUGAGUGAGUUACGACUACGAUCAUUGAGAAACCGUGACUCCUGUCUUUCUACAUGUGUUGCUUAGCUUUUUUUUUUUGGUACCGGGGAUCGAACUCAGGUCCUUGCGCUUGUGAGGGAGGCAGCAGAUCCACUGAGCUAGAUCCCUGGCCCUUGAUCAGCAUUCUUUUGUAAGGAUGAGCUUCCUCUUCUCUCUUAUGUCUGCCUGUAUUUCAUUUCAUUUUACCUUACUGUCUUGUUCUGGGAGAGGGUCUGGCUGUGUAGUUCAGACUGGCCUGGCCUUCAACUUGCGGUGGUCCUCCUGCCUCAGCGCCACCAGCCCAUUUUAAUGGAUUCUUUUUUCUGUUGUUACUACGCUGGCUAUGGGAUGUUUGGGCUGUCCCAGAGUCUUCCUCCGAAAGCCUCGGUAGGGUGCCGUCUCUCUGCACAUGUCCUGUUGUUUAUUGGAACAUGCCCUUACUGUUUGGUGCACUAUAUUCCAGGUUCAUUUUAUAUCUUCUGUCUCCCAGUCUUGGAAUCAGUUAUUUUUCCAGAGAAUCCUGGAUCUUCUUAAUGGUGAAUGCUGUUAAGAAACCGAGACCUGAGCUGGGCAUGGUGGCACUCAGGAUGCUGAGGCAGCAGGGUUGCCGUACGUUCGAGGCCAGCCUGGGUUAUAUAGCAAGACCCUGUCCAGAAAAAAAGAAAGCAAACCAGUGCUCACACUUGCAGAUGCUGAAGGGUUAUGUGUGUUCUCGUGUGUGUGUGUGUGUGUGUGUGUGUGUGUGUGUGGAGCUGGAUGUGGCUCAGUGGUAGAGCGCAGGCAUAGUGCGUGCCAGGCCCUGGGUUCGGUCCCCAGAACCACACGCCACCCAUACACACCUACACGCCUGCGCACACCCCCACCGGCCCAUAUGCACCCCACACCCACACAUGCACGUAAACACGUGUUCACAGUGCCGCCUCUGACUGUAGCUCGACACGUUCUGUGUUGCCCCCUUCCGUUUGUGACCCUCACCAGCAAGAACCCGGCUCCCCACAAGCAUCUCUUCACGCGCUUCACCUCACGUUGAUGCUCACACCGAAGAAAUGUGCCAUGUGGGUUUAAGACAUUUCUGCAGGUCUUGCUGAUCAAGAUACAGAGUCAAACAACUAUGUACUUUUUUUUUUUUUUUUUGUACCAGAGAUUGAACUCAGGUCCUUGCGCUUGUGCAGCAGGCAGCGAAACCACUGAGCUAAAUCCCUGGCCCACUAUAUAGUUUUUUAAAGAAUUUUUUGUUUUUUGAUUUUGGCGAUACUGGAUAUUGAAGCCAGGUUCUUUAUUUUUUGCUUUUGAGGCAUAUGGUUUUGUUAAGUUGCUUAGUUGCCUAGGCUGGGCUAGAGCCUGUUUCUCCUGUGUCACCCUUCCAGAGUGCUGGGAUUGCAGAUGUCUGCCUAAAGGCAUUUUUCUUUAUCCUCACUGAUUUCAUUUGCAUCUUUCCAAUGUGUAAAAACAUUAAUAAUGUACCAGAAAUUAAAAUUAUAUAAAAGUAUGCCCUGGGAGUUUCCCUUCUUCUCCUUUUGUUGCUACACACUAUUUGUGUGUAAGAUGUCUUAGUAGUUUUUGUUUAUAAUUGUCUUUUAGUUGUAAAUAUACAGGCUGUACCACCCUAUAAUUGUAUCUUUUUGCAAAAAUAAGCAUAAGCAUUAAUUUGUUUAUUUCGUCUUUCUUAUGAAACAUAACAGUCUAAGGCUGGGGAUGUAGCUCAGUGGCUUCGCCGCCUGCUGCGCAAGUGCAGGGACCCGAGUUCAAUCCCCAGUACCAUGAAAAAACAAAAAAACAUUAUAAACCCAGGCAUGGUGGCACAUGCCUGUAAUCCCAGCACUUAGGAGGCUGAAGCAAGAGCGUUCCUGUGACUGUGAGGACAGCCUGGAGUAUACAGUGAAACCCUGUGUCAAACGAGUAACAUUCUAUAUGCCCUUCUUUUUGUUCUUUGCUCACUUCAUUUAAAAAUAUGAUCUAUCUCUGGGAGGCUGAGGCAGGAAGAUUGCAAGUUUGAGCCCAGCCUGGCAACUUAGUGAAUGAGAUUGUCUCAAAAUAAAAAAGGGCUGAGGAUGUAGCACAGUGCAGAGGCCCUGGGUUCAGUUCCCAGCACCAAAAGUGUAGUCUAGCCGUGUGCAAUGCCACGUUCCUGUAAUCCCAGCACUGAGGAGGUUGAGGCAGGAGGAUCACUUGAGCCUAGGAGUUUGAGAUCAGCAUUGGCAACAUCGUGAGACUAUCUCAAAAAAUGGAAAAGUAAAAUAAUAAUCUUCGGAACAAGAGAUGUAGCUCAGUGGUAGAGUGCUUCCCUAGCAUGCAUGAGUUUGAUCCCCAGGUCUUCAAAGAUGAAACAAAUCUUGCUGUCACUCCAUUAUAGUUUUGUUGGGACUUUCUUGGUGCUUGGGUGGGCCCCUUGGCUCUCCUGUUGCUGGUGCUGGAGGCCACUGACGUUCGUGGCUGUGCUCGCAGGCAGUAGACCUGCUUAGGUGUGGUCAUAGUUGCUUUCUUUCUCUGCCCUAAUGCCUCUUCUGUCACACACACACACACACACACACACACACACACACACACCCCGCCCCGCCAGCUGUGCACCAUGGGAACUGUUGGCUUCUUUGUUGCCCUGCCUCCACCCUCCAGUCUGCCCCAGGAGCUCUCCAGAAAGACACUGUUAAGAGAAUCACAUCAGAACACAGAGAACCUGCUUGGUUUGGACCCACUAGCCACAUGUCAUUGUCACUGUGCUUGUGGGGCUUCCUGACCUGUACCAUGUGUGUGCUCCCUGCUCUUCAUCAGUCCCUUCCCUCCUACUUGGCUGCUCCUUUGUCUUUUGCUUAUGAGCCUGAACUGAGGUCUAGCCCCCCGAGCUCCUGUGUUCUACAGCCCUGGCCGAUCCUAAGGCUCACAAGGUAAUGCUGUUUCCUGUUUUCUCUUGCUUCAGAGAAGAAGGAAGUGACAGUCUUGGAGUCCUACAAGCUGCCCACCUCGCUGGUGUAUGGGGCUGACUGGUCCUGGCUCCCCUUCUGUUCCCUGCAGCCAGUGGCCCCUGCAUCCCUUCCUGACACUGACAUGGGAGGCCAUCUCUGUGGCCUGAAAGUUGCAGGGGACUUGUGGGACAGCAGCAGCCAACCGUACAAC
Non-coding RNA from Heterocephalus glaber (naked mole-rat), 5373 nucleotides. Lineage: Eukaryota; Metazoa; Chordata; Mammalia; Rodentia; Bathyergidae. The record is from RefSeq and is a predicted model, not a curated record.